RNAcentral lists this ribosomal RNA (253 nucleotides) under uncultured bacterium. RNAcentral describes it as "partial 16S ribosomal RNA". It matches the Rfam family "Bacterial small subunit ribosomal RNA", at positions 524 to 776 of the family's 1533-position model. The record is from RNAcentral.
UACGUAGGGUGCAAGCGUUGUCCGGAAUUAUUGGGCGUAAAGAGCUCGUAAGCGGUCUGUCGCGUCGGCUGUGAAAUCCCGAGGCUCAACCUCGGGUCUGCAGUCGAUACGGGCAAACUAGAGUAUUGCAGGGGAGACUGGAAUUCCUGGUGUAGCGGUGAAAUGCGCAGAUAUCAGGAGGAACACCGGUGGCGAAGGCGGGUCUCUGGGCAAUAACUGACGCUGAGGAGCGAAAGCGUGGGGAGCGAACAGG